Molecule: ribosomal RNA, 804 nt
Filed under: uncultured bacterium
Lineage: Bacteria
Description: bacterial SSU rRNA
Rfam family: Bacterial small subunit ribosomal RNA
Source: RNAcentral
ACACAUGCAAGUCGAGGGGCAGCAUGGUCUUAGCUUGCUAAGGCCGAUGGCGACCGGCGCACGGGUGAGUAACACGUAUCCAACCUGCCGUCUACUCUUGGACAGCCUUCUGAAAGGAAGAUUAAUACAAGAUGGCAUCAUGAGUCCGCAUGUUCACAUGAUUAAAGGUAUUCCGGUAGACGAUGGGGAUGCGUUCCAUUAGAUAGUAGGCGGGGUAACGGCCCACCUAGUCUUCGAUGGAUAGGGGUUCUGAGAGGAAGGUCCCCCACAUUGGAACUGAGACACGGUCCAAACUCCUACGGGAGGCAGCAGUGAGGAAUAUUGGUCAAUGGGCGAGAGCCUGAACCAGCCAAGUAGCGUGAAGGAUGACUGCCCUAUGGGUUGUAAACUUCUUUUAUAAAGGAAUAAAGUCGGGUAUGGAUACCCGUUUGCAUGUACUUUAUGAAUAAGGAUCGGCUAACUCCGUGCCAGCAGCCGCGGUAAUACGGAGGAUCCGAGCGUUAUCCGGAUUUAUUGGGUUUAAAGGGAGCGUAGAUGGAUGUUUAAGUCAGUUGUGAAAGUUUGCGGCUCAACCGUAAAAUUGCAGUUGAUACUGGAUAUCUUGAGUGCAGUUGAGGCAGGCGGAAUUCGUGGUGUAGCGGUGAAAUGCUUAGAUAUCACGAAGAACUCCGAUUGCGAAGGCAGCCUGCUAAGCUGCAACUGACAUUGAGGCUCGAAAGUGUGGGUAUCAAACAGGAUUAGAUACCCUGGUAGUCCACACGGUAAACGAUGAAUACUCGCUGUUUGCGAUAUACUGCAAGCGGC